This 429-nucleotide ribosomal RNA is filed under the name Chloroflexota bacterium. Its description in RNAcentral is "Chloroflexi bacterium partial 16S ribosomal RNA". It matches the Rfam family "Bacterial small subunit ribosomal RNA", at positions 355 to 776 of the family's 1533-position model. The record is from RNAcentral. Lineage: Bacteria; Bacillati; Chloroflexota.
UGGGGAAUAUUGCACAAUGGGCGCAAGCCUGAUGCAGCCAUGCCGCGUGUAUGAAGAAGGCCUUCGGGUUGUAAAGUACUUUCAGCGGGGAGGAAGGGAGUAAAGUUAAUACCUUUGCUCAUUGACGUUACCCGCAGAAGAAGCACCGGCUAACUCCGUGCCAGCAGCCGCGGUAAUACGGAGGGUGCAAGCGUUAAUCGGAAUUACUGUGCGUAAAGCGCACGCAGGCGGUUUGUUAAGUCAGAUGUGAAAUCCCCGGGCUCAACCUGGGAACUGCAUCUGAUACUGGCAAGCUUGAGUCUCGUAGAGGGGGGUAGAAUUCCAGGUGUAGCGGUGAAAUGCGUAGAGAUCUGGAGGAAUACCGGUGGCGAAGGCGGCCCCCAGGACGAAGACUGACGCUCAGGUGCGAAAGCGUGGGGAGCAAACAGG